RNAcentral lists this transfer RNA (76 nucleotides) under Chloroflexota bacterium. Its description in RNAcentral is "tRNA-Gly". It matches the Rfam family "tRNA". Rfam says of the family: Transfer RNA (tRNA) molecules are approximately 80 nucleotides in length. Their secondary structure includes four short double-helical elements and three loops (D, anti-codon, and T loops). Lineage: Bacteria; Bacillati; Chloroflexota. The record is from RNAcentral.
GCGGGGGUAACUCAGUUGGUAGAGUGCCUGCCUUCCAAGCAGGUUGUCGCGGGUUCGAGUCCCGUCCCCCGCUCCA